UCAAAGUUAAUUUUCGCUAACAGAAAGAGAUUUAUUACGCAAGAAUAGAUUGAAGUUAUCUAAUAAAACUUAACGAACUCGGUUCGUGUCUUUCUACAAUCAAUAUAAAGAUAAAUAAUUACAAAUUUACAACAAACUUCGUAUACAAAUUUCUAUUUAUCUUUUUCAUUUCGUACAAACGACACAUUUUAGAUUCAUCUAAAGAUCGUGUCGUCUACCGUCAAACACCGGGAAGACCGGUUGUACGAAGGAAAUGUCGCUAACUUAUGCACCUAAUUAACUAAAUUUACUUUUUUAGUUAAUUUAAUGAAGUAGCCUUUCGCGCCUUCUUUGUCUACGAAGAAGCGCGAUUAAAAAGUAACAAAUGGUUCGGCUUCCCCUUAAAGUGCGCGGCAUUGGCAGAGAAAAGAACAUUCGGAAGACGGUAUUCUCCAGUCUAGAUCGUUUCAAACAUAGACGUACCGGAGAAAAGGUAAAAGAAACAUACGGGUAUUGGAGAAAUGCAUAAAAACGAUUCCUAAAAGGAAAAAUGCUAUUAACAAAAUAGUGAAAUUAUGUGGAGAAAAGUUGGCAGCAUCGGCAUCAAAUUCAAUCGAAAAACGAGAGAAGGAAAAGAAGGGAAGCUGGAGUCCGAAUCGAGUAGUUUAACCAAGACGUUUGUGUGUCUCCGAAGGAUAAACACGAGAGGACGAUAAAUUCGAUUGGUCCGUUGAAAAACCUCGGGAUAACGAGCAAAGAACCCGGAACGAGGUUCGCUAUUCUUUCCGGGUCGUUUCUGUUUCGUGUCCGUGGCUCUGGCAGCCUCCAGAAUUUACCACCGCGCGUUUUAAUAAAUAGACGAGCGCCGAGAACUUACUUUGCUAUAGAACGAACUAUUUUUAUUUUCUUCUGUUGCGGCAUCUUUUAAAAAUUAAUUUAAAUAAUAGACUUAUAACAUUAAUUUACACCGGCGGUAACAGCUGCUAAAUAUCGUUUUCCUCGUGUGCCACUCGACUAUGAAAAUCCAAGGGAUUGAUGCCGUAGAAGAUAAAAGAAACGGUCGAGGUAACUAAGAGAGGAGUUUAUUCUGUUCCAGAUCUACGGUUAUGUCGCGUUCCCCCCCCCCCAAGAAAAACGAACAGACCAACUCUCUUCCUGCGAAUUUUGUCUUAUAGUUAAGUAAUUAAGAAUUCUGCAGUUGAUGUGACGAAAUAUUCGGAAAAGAAUCUACUCGACGGGUGAAGAGGACGGAAACGUUUUCCCAAUAAAGGAAGGAAGAGGAGAAAAAUUCGAGUGCACUCGAAAGUUUGUCGAGAACUUACCCUUUAUACAUAAACGAUAAAUUAGUCAUUCCGGAAGAGAAAAUAGACAAUUUGUUUCCUAGAUCGACCGAUUAAUUAAAGAGUAAGCACUCGUGUUGAAAAUAGAUGAAAUGGCAAACGAGAGAUGCUCUAACGAGUCUAACCUGCACUGAAUCGUAUAUAACGUCCAUCAGAUUCAUUUCAAAUUUCAGUAAUUUACAGAUCCGAAUCUA
This is a long non-coding RNA of Centruroides sculpturatus (bark scorpion), 1513 nucleotides long. RefSeq lists it as uncharacterized. Lineage: Eukaryota; Metazoa; Arthropoda; Arachnida; Scorpiones; Buthidae. The transcript is spliced from 3 exons. The record is from RefSeq and is a predicted model, not a curated record.